GUGAUGCAUUACUGUUUGCAAGCUGGUUCUCUGUUUACUUGUGUUUAUACCAGGAUGAGGCUGUUCCCAAUAGCAACCACUGUGAUCCUGAAGCCUCCUCUUCUAGAACACUGUGUAGUCCUCAGGGCUCACAACCUUCCCCAGGGCCCAGUGAAGGGUCUGGGACUGCUGUCUCCAAACAACCCGUGCCAGCUCUUUUCCACAGAAGCGUUCAACCAAGAGGCUUCUCUUCCAACGAUUGUUUCAUUUGCCUCACCCAACCACCACUGUUUUCAUGCAGUUACUAAAUGUUAUCAAUGUGUUUGGCCUAUCUUAGUGUCAGAAAAAGCAAUUUUGAAUGAUAUGGACACCAUCUUGCCUUGCCAAACUUGGACCCAAUAGGGUGACUUGGCCUCAAGGCUUCUUAGUGAACCUCAAACCACCUUAAAAAUCAGUAAUUCACAGUAGUCGUUUGGAGCCGAUGAGGAGACAGAUAGCACUUUGGCUUCAGAGAAGGAGACAGAAGUUCCCUCAGGUGACAUUUUGCUUGGGAGAAAGUCUGGAAAUGUAAGCUUGCUCUGCUUCUCUGAGCAACACUAACCAAAAUUGGAGACUUUGACCCUGCCGCCUCUUCUGAAAUCAAGUGAAUUAAUUAGGAGCUGCGAUGCCUGAGUUUCAUUAUGUCCUUAAUACUUAGAAGUCACCAGACUGUUCUCACCUGCAGCUCCUCCAGCCACGCAAGUGAAAAAGAAAGCUGCCUGGAAAAGUCAGAGGGGGUUUCUGAGUCACUGCUGACUGGAAUUCCAGGUUUCCACCCCAAAUUCCAAGUGAGAGAGCUCGUUGGCAUCUGCAGUUCCAGGCAAGGCAAGCAAACUGCUGUUUUCAGAGGAGACUUCACCUCGGAGAAGUUGGCAGCAGGAGGCAGAUGCCAAGUUCAAAGCAAGUCCCUGUAGACAGUGUCUACAAAACGACUACGGUUCUUGAUGGAAGCGAUACGCCAAGAGGGACAUAAACAGCUUGCUAAAGCGGUGAUGGGGAUUUAGUUCACCUUGAUACCAAUUCACCGCAAGUCAAUUCUCCUGAUGCCAAUUUACCUAAUUAAUUCACCUAAAACUAGCAUUUUCUAGUUCCAUGGUUCUCAGUCCUAGCUGGGUCUUCCAGAUUCUAACCUGGGCUUUUGUUUUUUGUUGUUUUGAGAGGCAGAGAGAGAUGGAUAGACAGAGACAGCUCUAGUAAGCUGAUUCACUCCCCCAGGUGCCCAUAUGGCUGGGACUGGACAGGGCUGAAGUGGAGCCUCCCGUGUGGGUGGUAGGGACCCCCAUUACUUGAGCCGUCCCAGGGUCUGCAUCAACAGGAAGAUAGAAUUGAGUCCAGCUAUUAAACCCAGGCACUCUGCUAUGCGGACGAGGGUGUCUUAACUGCUAGAGAACCUUGCUUUUCAGUUAGGCACAUCCUUUUUUUUUUUU
This is a non-coding RNA of Oryctolagus cuniculus (rabbit), 1445 nucleotides long. The record is from RefSeq and is a predicted model, not a curated record. Lineage: Eukaryota; Metazoa; Chordata; Mammalia; Lagomorpha; Leporidae.